Molecule: ribosomal RNA, 859 nt
Filed under: Salmonella enterica
Lineage: Bacteria; Pseudomonadati; Pseudomonadota; Gammaproteobacteria; Enterobacterales; Enterobacteriaceae
Also listed under: 1 other name
Description: partial 23S ribosomal RNA
Rfam family: Bacterial large subunit ribosomal RNA
Source: RNAcentral
GCAAGGUUAACCGUAUAGGGGAGCCGGAGGGAAACCGAGUCUUAACCGGGCGUUAAGUUGCAGGGUAUAGACCCGAAACCCGGUGAUCUAGCCAUGGGCAGGUUGAAGGUUGGGUAACACUAACUGGAGGACCGAACCGACUAAUGUUGAAAAAUUAGCGGAUGACCUGUGGCUGGGGGUGAAAGGCCAAUCAAACCGGGAGAUAGCUGGUUCUCCCCGAAAGCUAUUUAGGUAGCGCCUCGUGAAUUCAUCUCCGGGGGUAGAGCACUGUUUCGGCUAGGGGGCCAUCCCGGCUUACCAACCCGAUGCAAACUGCGAAUACCGGAGAAUGUUAUCACGGGAGACACACGGCGGGUGCUAACGUCCGUCGUGAAGAGGGAAACAACCCAGACCGCCAGCUAAGGUCCCAAAGUCAUGGUUAAGUGGGAAACGAUGUGGGAAGGCCCAGACAGCCAGGAUGUUGGCUUAGAAGCAGCCAUCAUUUAAAGAAAGCGUAAUAGCUCACUGGUCGAGUCGGCCUGCGCGGAAGAUGUAACGGGGCUAAACCAUGCACCGAAGCUGCGGCAGCGACGCUGAUGCGUUGUUGGGUAGGGGAGCGUUCUGUAAGCCUGCGAAGGUGGCCUGUGAGGGUUGCUGGAGGUAUCAGAAGUGCGAAUGCUGACAUAAGUAACGAUAAAGCGGGUGAAAAGCCCGCUCGCCGGAAGACCAAGGGUUCCUGUCCAACGUUAAUCGGGGCAGGGUGAGUCGACCCCUAAGGCGAGGCCGAAAGGCGUAGUCGAUGGGAAACGGGUUAAUAUUCCCGUACUUGGUGUUACUGCGAAGGGGGGACGGAGAAGGCUAUGUUGGCCGGGCGACGGUU